This is a long non-coding RNA of Mytilus trossulus (common blue mussel), 266 nucleotides long. RefSeq lists it as uncharacterized. Lineage: Eukaryota; Metazoa; Mollusca; Bivalvia; Mytilida; Mytilidae. The record is from RefSeq and is a predicted model, not a curated record. The transcript has 3 exons.
GUUCAAUAUUUGUUUGACAUCCGACACGUUUACAUUUUAUAUGAGUACACAGUAUGUUUCAACAAACUUAUAUCUAUGUCAUUUGCAAUUAAGGAUGCAGACUUUGAAACUAGUUGUUGUUGGAGAUUGUGGAGUGGGAAAGUCAUCUCUCUUAAUGAGCUACGUUGAGAACAAAUAUCCAGGCGAAUACGUACCGUUUGUAUGCGACCUUCAUGAUUAUAAACAUAAUAUUCAGCUUGAUGAAACGUUCGUGCAGUUGUGUCUGG